GAUGGGAACGGGGGAGAAGAAGGGCACCGCGGCUGGAGGGAAGAAACAGAGCGAGCUACGCUGCGGGAGCGCAGUUACCAGCCGGCUGCGGUCACGUGCCUGGGAGGAGGAGCUGAGACCUCACGGGAGGGGCGCGCGGUAGCGUCCCGGGUCCCCUAGCAGGGCUCUGGAGACCACGUGAAGUCUCCUCGACAGCUGCUUUGCCUCAGGCAUAAAUCAGAAGAGGAAAACCAGCUUCUGGACCUGGAGAGAGGAUGAAAGGGAAUAGGAAUUGAGGGAAGCGGAAGGGAAGAAUAAGGGACCCCUGGAGAGUCCCUACCAAGCCAGACAUAACAAACAAAAGUCCUCUACUACUGAGGAAGACAGAACAGGGAAGCCAGCAGGGGAAGAAAAAGAUGAUGCUGCUCUUGAUGCCUCAAAAAUGGCAAGGAAGAACCCAGGCAACUGAUGUACACACCCUUGGAACAAAUCUGCCCCAGAAGUACAAGACACACUCUUCGAAUUCAUGGAAUAAAUGGGAGGAGCUGGUGUAGUGAAGGAUGAAGAGAAGGCAAUGCAUUGGUUUAGACAAGCCUCCUAGCAGGACCAUCCUGGUGCUGCCUUUAACCUUGCAGUAGGAACACUGAAAAACAUGACUGGCUCCAUGGAAGCAGGGGAUGUAGAAAUGCUCCUUAAUGUUGCUGCAAAACGGGGGAUCCAAGAAGCCCAAGAACUUCUGGAGAAUGUUAUUUGGACUAAAAGCAAGCUCUUGCCAACUGAAAGAACCGGG
Molecule: non-coding RNA, 769 nt
Filed under: Pan troglodytes (chimpanzee)
Lineage: Eukaryota; Metazoa; Chordata; Mammalia; Primates; Hominidae
Source: RNAcentral